UACGUAGGGAGCAAGCGUUGUCCGGAAUCAUUGGGCGUAAAGAGCGUGUAGGCGGUUCGGUAAGUCCGCUGUGAAAGUCAAGGGCUCAACCCUUGAAAGCCGGUGGAUACUGUCGAACUAGAGUCCGGAAGAGGCGAGUGGAAUUCCUGGUGUAGCGGUGAAAUGCGCAGAUAUCAGGAGGAACACCGAUGGCGAAGGCAGCUCGCUGGGACGGUACUGACGCUGAGACGCGAAAGCGUGGGGAGCAAACAGG
This 253-nucleotide ribosomal RNA is filed under the name uncultured prokaryote. RNAcentral describes it as "partial 16S ribosomal RNA". It matches the Rfam family "Bacterial small subunit ribosomal RNA", at positions 524 to 776 of the family's 1533-position model. The record is from RNAcentral.